This 253-nucleotide ribosomal RNA is filed under the name uncultured bacterium. RNAcentral describes it as "partial 16S ribosomal RNA". It matches the Rfam family "Bacterial small subunit ribosomal RNA", at positions 524 to 776 of the family's 1533-position model. The record is from RNAcentral.
UACGAAGGGGGCUAGCGUUGUUCGGAAUUACUGGGCGUAAAGGGCGCGUGGGCGGUCUUGUAAGUCAGAUGUGAGAGCCCAGGGCUCAACCCGGGAAUAGCAUUUGAUACUGCGAGGCUUGCGUCCGGGAGAGGAUGGCGGAAUUCCCAGUGUAGAGGUGAAAUUCGUAGAUAUUGGGAAGAACACCGGUGGCGAAGGCGGCCAUCUGGACCGGUACUGACGCUGAGGUGCGACAGCGUGGGGAGCAAACAGG